CUGGAGCCCUAGUUGAGGCUUAAGUUCACUAUCCGUACGUUGCUUCAUUUCCCCGAUCAAAACCAUUGAAUCUGCUUCGUUGUAUUGUAAUUCUCUCUGCAAGACGAAUACCACACAGUGAUAGAUGGAUCAGAUUCAGUACUCUGAGAAGUACUUCGACGACAUUUAUGAGUACAGGCACGUGGUUCUCCCACCCGAAGUGGCUAAGUUGCUUCCUAAGAAUCGUCUGCUAUCGGAAGUAAGCAAUUUUGUUUUCUUAGUUUCAAAUUUAUGUGUCUCGAUUUUGUUACGAAAGGAAGUAUUAUCUGAUUGAUUGGGAAGAAACUUAGUUCAGUAGUUGAAUUCUUAUUUCCGGUUUAGGUAUCACUCUUGAGAGACCCUAUGAAAUAGAUAUUAUUCCGUGGACAGUUUUUCCCCUAUUUCUAAUCUUUUAUAUUUUCAUAUGAUCUUGAUAUUCUCUCUUUGAUUUGGCUGAUGGUUGCAUGAAGUUGAAACAAUGUUUUUGAGUA
Cucumis sativus (cucumber) is the source of this 509-nucleotide long non-coding RNA. RefSeq lists it as uncharacterized. NCBI's taxonomy places the organism in Eukaryota, Viridiplantae, Streptophyta, Magnoliopsida, Cucurbitales, Cucurbitaceae. The transcript has 2 exons. The record is from RefSeq and is a predicted model, not a curated record.